GACAUCUCUACAGUGUGUGUAUUUUAUUGCCUUGAAAAACUGCGCACUUCCAACCAUCAUGGCGGAGACGAAAACGUGGUUUUAGCCCUCUGGUGUUCCACCGAAGCGAAACAACCAAAACAACAUAAAGAAAAACAAGAUUUUAUCUUACCCGUUCUCUUCUUACAUGUCGUUUUAGGGUCGCAUUAAACUAAAUGCUAUUUCAUUUUCUUCUAGGAGUCGGCCCAUUCUUUGUUGUAUUGGCGCAGAUUCUAAAACUGGGAUUCCGAUAAUGACUAAAAUGUUUUGGCUUUCGUGGAAAGAACCAAUCGCUUACGCCUUUUUCGAACUAUUUCUUUGUUUUUUUUUUCCUUUUUUGUUUCCUUUUAAAUAACGAGAUUUGUCUGGGUCUUCCAGUUUCCUGAAAUCUCUACCACCCCCUUUUUUUUAACGAAAAAAAAAAAUAUAAUAAAUUCCCUGGCGUGUGGAUCACCGGACCAGAAGAGGUCCGGUGUCUGAUAUGACGACUUUGAAUUCACCUUCAACGAAUAACAAAACGCACUUAAUGACGACUGAUGAAAUUCAAAAUUUCAUUUACAUCAGACAUUAUCUCAUUGUAAACGACUGAUGAAAUUUAAAAAAUAAAGUUGUACAUCACGCAUUAUCUCAUUGUGUCAUAUUCGGUUACCACACCAACAAAAACAUGUCCCACUCUCCAGAAAACCCCAAGGACCUCAGGUGAACUGUCAUUUCCAACUCAAAAACAACGGAAUAAAAAACAAAAACAAAAAAAAAGAGGUUAUCUAAUCGCCACCAUUUUGGUUUGCAGUCGUUAUCGAAUAAGCAAAAGAAGCAAUGGCGCGGGAUGGUAGUUAUUUCAGUCUCCUCAUAUGAAACUCUCUCUCUCUCUCUCUAUCCCUAACACACACUCGGUGCCAACCGAGACGCGAACAAAAACAAAACGCGUGGCUUUCCAACGUGAACACAGACACGUAUACCCCACCUUUGUUUCCCUUUGUUUUUUAGAAGCAAGGCGGGCGGUGUGCAUGGGCGCAGCCAUCUUGGAUAAGAUGGCCGUAUCGACGAGUUCCGGUCCCAUUCCUUGACUGUUGCGCAUGCGCAUUGUGUAUACAACUUUAAAAAAAAAAAACCUAAUUCCUGUCCGCAGCAGAUGAACACACACAAAAACAACACAGCUGACUGCGUGGCGCGAAAAAGGCUUAGAAACUGCGCAGUUUGGCUAACAUCAUAAAUUUUCACGUCUUUUCGUCUGCGGAAUGGAGGGGCGUAAAGAGGAGACUGAGAAAAUGUCACGUGAUCGUCUGGUAAAAACGUUGAAAGGACGUCGAAAAGCUAGAGGCAAAAUCUAACCGAUAGGAAACGGAAAAUGCAAAGGGAGAAUAAAAAUACACUUAAUCAGCUUGUUUAAA
Daphnia magna is the source of this 1409-nucleotide long non-coding RNA. RefSeq lists it as uncharacterized. The transcript is spliced from 2 exons. Lineage: Eukaryota; Metazoa; Arthropoda; Branchiopoda; Diplostraca; Daphniidae. The record is from RefSeq and is a predicted model, not a curated record.